RNAcentral lists this ribosomal RNA (513 nucleotides) under uncultured bacterium. Its description in RNAcentral is "partial 16S ribosomal RNA". It matches the Rfam family "Bacterial small subunit ribosomal RNA", at positions 29 to 523 of the family's 1533-position model. The record is from RNAcentral.
AACGAACGCUGGCGGCGUGCCUAACACAUGCAAGUCGAGCGCGAAAAGGGCAACCUGAGUAGAGCGGCGCACGGGCGCGUAACACGUGGGUAAUCUGCCUUAGAGUCGAGGAUAACGUUCCGAAAGGUUGGCUAAUACUCGGUAAGUUUACGGUGUCUUCGGACGCUGUGGGAAAAGUCGGCCACUGUUUACAAGCUUACGCUCUGAGAUGAGCACGCGGCCCACCAGCUAGUUGGCGGUGCAACGGACCACCAAGGCAACGACGGGUAGCUGGUCUGAGAGGACGAUCAGCCACACUGGAAAUGAGACACGGUCCAGACUCCUACGGGAGGCAGCAGUGGGGAAUUUUCCACAAUGGGCGAAAGCCUGAUGGAGCAACGCCGCGUGUGUGAUGAAGGUUUUCGGAUCGUAAAGCACUUUCGACCGGGACGAAAAACCUCUGGCUAACAUCCAGGGGCCUGACGGUACCGGGAGAAGAAGCACCGGCUAACUCUGUGCCAGCAGCCGCCGUAA